Camelus dromedarius (Arabian camel) is the source of this 321-nucleotide non-coding RNA. Lineage: Eukaryota; Metazoa; Chordata; Mammalia; Artiodactyla; Camelidae. The record is from the annotation of a RefSeq genome assembly.
AUGGCCUGGGCUCCACUCCUCCUCACCCUCCUCGCUCACUGCACAGCAGCGGCAACACUGGGGAUUGUGCCCAGCUACCAGCAGCGCCCGGGCAGUGCCCUCACCACUGUAAUCUACAAAGAUGAUGAAAGACCCUCUGAGGUUCCCGCUCGGUUCUCUGGCUCCAUUGACACCUCCUCCAGUGCCGCCUCCCUGACCAUCUCUGGGCUGAAGCCCAAGGACGAGGCCGACUACUGUUGUCAGUCUGGUUAUGACAGCAGUAAGAACACGGUGCUCCAGACCCAUGAGGAGAUUGUGGAGUAUGAUUUUUGGCUAGAUUAG